Molecule: ribosomal RNA, 253 nt
Filed under: uncultured bacterium
Lineage: Bacteria
Description: partial 16S ribosomal RNA
Rfam family: Bacterial small subunit ribosomal RNA
Source: RNAcentral
UACGUAGGGUUCGGGCGUUGUUCGGAAUCAUUGGGCGUAAAGCGCGUGUAGGCGGCUUGGCAAGUCGGUUGUGAAAUCCCGGGGCCCAACCCCGGAACUGCAAUCGAAACUGCCUCGCUAGCGUCCCGGAGAGGAAGGCGGAAUUCCCGGUGUAGAGGUGAAAUUCGUAGAGAGCGGGAGGAACACCAGUGGCGAAGGCGGCCUUCUGGACGGUGACUGACGCUGAGACGCGAAAGAGUGGGGAGCACACAGG